AAAAAUUUAAAAAACAAACAAACAAACAAAAAACAAUACCAUAUCGUAUACUUGAAAUUGACUAAGAGAGCAGAUCUCAAGCAUUCUAACCACACCACAAAAACAAAGUAGCUAUGGGUGGUGAUGGAUAUGUUAACUAGUUUCAUUGUGGUUAUCACUUCACAGUGUAUGCAUAUAUCAACCUAUCACAUUGUAAGUCUCAAAUACAUAAAAUUUUUAUUCAUCAAAAAUAAUAAAUAAGUAAGCAAAUAAAGACCAAAAUAAAGAGAUAAAUGAACAAAAUUCCAAUGUGUGAAAAUGACUUUGGAUAAUGCCUGAAACAGAGUAACAGCCACCAGAGAUACAAGAGGACCUGGGAAAUAGAUACAUACGUGGUACUUCAGUAUACCUGGAGCAAAAAGGUGAGGAGAGAAUACAGGCUUCUUUUAAGAGAUGAAGCUGGAGAAGUAACCAAAGCCUGUUUCUGCAGGGCCUUGCAAACCAGUAAAGAACUUUGUGCUUUUUCCGGAAAGUACUGAGAAGCCAUUGAAGAAUUUCAAUCAUUCACUGACUGAUUGCUGAGCUUUCAUUGUUAAAAGAUCAUUCUGAUUGGAGAUGGAGAAUGGGUUGACGUGAAAGGGAAGUGGGUGGCAGGAAAAGUAAACAGGCCAAUUUUAAGGCUGCGCAUGAGAUGGUGGUGGCCUGGCCUAUGUUAGUUGCGCAAGACUGGAAGUAGUGGGAAGAUGAGGCAAUUGUUUCCAGACAUACAAGUGAGAGGUCUUGAUGAUUAGCUUUUGGGGUUGGGAGAGAGGGAGAGGUCUAAUGGGUCAGUUGCUACAGUGGGAUCGAGAAGGGCAAGAGACAACUUGCAUUGAGCUACGACAGGAUGACCUUGGUGGGAAGGAUACAACUGGGAGGUGAAGGCCAGAACCCAGAUGACCAUAUGUUGAGGAGAGGCUGGGAAGUGAAGAGUGGAGUCAAGAUUAUUGACUUGUCAACAGUACUGCUUGUUGCCACCUAACAUCCAUUCCCACCUUCUCUCAUAUUGAGAGAAUUCCUGAUAUUUAGUUGGGUACAUGGCUUUGUAGACUAAGCCUUUACAUUACCAGGAAGUGUUAAGUUAUGGUCAACAGAAUGCAAAUGGAAGUGAGGUGUGCUAUGGGCAAUGGUGUUAAAAGAAAGGAUAUGCUCUCCCCUCCCCAUUUUCCUUGCCUGCUCGCUGCAAACAGAUCUGCUGUGCUGAGUCAUCUUUGACCUUGUCAGUAAGGAACCACAGAGCAACCAUACAGAAUCCUGGGUAUCUGACACUAUAGGGUAACCAUUGUGGGUUUGAACAUAUACCUAGACUGUUACAUGAAAGAGAAAUACAUAUUUUGUCGAAGCCACGGUUAUUUAUACCCCUGUUAGAGCAACCCGCUCUAUAUCCAAACUAUUACAGAAUUUGAUACAAGAAGGGAGUGGCUGAUAGUUUAGAACCCAACAUAAGUGGCAUAGGUUUGGUGGGCAGGCAGUAGGUGGGAAGGCACAGGUAUUACAGUCUGGUGGCAAGUCUGGUGACAGUUUUUAUGUUGUGACAAAACACUAAGCUGUUGUCUAUGAUCAUUCUCAUGGCGGAUCACAUGCCAUCAGAACCUGAAACUCAAGAAGAAAUUAAUCGUAAUAUUUGGAACGUGGUGUCUGUGGGAUGCAUUUUGCCACUUUCACCAGGAACUUGCCACAAACAGAUCUCAGGCUAGGGUCAGCCAGUCUGCCAGCACUGAUUCAAGGGUAUACAGCUCUUCUAAGGAAGCUCUUUCUGCCUGUAGAUGACAAUCCAAUUUGGCGGCAACGAGAGUGACUAGUGCCUCCAAAGCCUGAGAGAGGCAAAAACUUCUGCACCCCAAACUGAAGGAAUUACAAGUGGCUUUCAAUAGGUAGCCUAAGCAGGACAGGACACCCAAGCCUUUCUCCGUCACCUCCCCAAUAUGGCUGACUCAAGGUAAAUUGGCUAAGUGCAAAAUAGCUGUCAUUGAUUUAGUAGGGAGACUUGGUAAAUCCCAGAACAAGCUACACAGAAGACCAGAGUUUUCAGGCCCCAAAACUAUGCCUGAACAAAGUAUUUCAGGAUGACUAUUUACAUAUGGAAUUUGACAGACAUAAAAGUAGACCAGAAGCCUAAAUGUUUGAGGGAAUUUGCUUGCAAAAGAAACCAUAGCCUAGGAAAAUGGGGAGGAGAGAGCAUAUCCUUUCUUGUAACGCCAUUGUCAAUAAGGCAUAGACUAGUUUGACCUCUAAUACAAUCCUCAUGAUCCCCUUUCUGCGCAGCAGGAAGUGGGCUGCAAAAGCCAUCCUGUCCUCAAGAAGGGUAUAUUCUUCCAAACAUCCACCUCAGAUUUGUCCACAGAGGAUGAUGAACAUGAAAGAAUGUUCCAGAGGGAAAGACAAAAGCUAAAGAUGACAGCAGAGGAAGCAACGCCUCCCAGACAGCAGAAUCAGGACCUACUGAAUGGACUGAGGCCCCAAAGAGUGCCAGGACAGGGUUCUGUCAUAAUUCAUGCCUAGGGGAGUUGGAUCAUUGCUAGGGACCUAUGUUACCUCAUUAUUCACUCUUCUCUUUCCAGUAUUGGAGUUUUUAUAGCAAUACCCUACUCCAGGGAUAGAUAUUGGUUGGUCUGGAGACUAGACAUAACUCAUGCUUUAGUUUGUAGUUUGUCAGAUAGGAAUUCUAUCCCUACUGAAUGGAGAGAACCAAGGAGUAACAAGAGAUACUAAAUUUUGACCCAGAUGUAGUCAUUCUAUGAGACCUGGGGGUUAUAUUUCUUGAAUAUGACAAUGUUCUAUGCGUGGGGAUGAUGCUCUGUGUGUAUUUGCGGACAGUUGUUUAAUCAAACGGGUAGACCCUGACAGAAACUGUUAGUGGUCACUCAAUAGUCAUGCCCUCAGUUCUCUCAUAGAAAUGGAAUGCCCUAUUUCUGGCUGAACACAUAACCACUCAAAAGGAAAGACCACAUUUCCCAGCCUCUCACAAAGCUAUGUACAGCCAGGCGACUAAGUUCAGACCAAUGAAAUGUGAACAGAAGUGAUAUGGAAAACUUUCUGGUUAUUCUCUGAAGCUAGAGGCAUGUCCUCCCCUUUCCCACCUUCACUUCCCACUUCCUGGAUGUGGACAUGAUGCUGAGUCCUCUCAGUUCUACCCUAGAGGUGGUGGAGCACCUUCACAGAAGGAACCUGAGUCCCUGAGAGGGUGGAGCUGCUAAGCCAGCUAUGGACUGCAUAUGCUCAGACUAUUCAGGAAGGAAGGAAUGAGUUACUGGAUGUGUUUGUUGAAGCAACCGAACCUAUAUCUAACCAGACCUUACUCUAAAGAAUUUGUUCGUAUUGUAGACAGUAGGAAGCUAAUAACAGCAUUUGAACUCUCAUGAUUUGUUACAAGUAUUUUUGUUCUAAUGUUGAGUACAUUGAUGAUAUGCCAGUAUCAUCAAAUGAAAAUCACUAAUCCUGAGUUUCUAGAACUUGAAUAAAUCUAUCAAUAACCCAAAGCAGUCAUUGUUUACUCUUUUCUAUGUUUGCAAACGUGGAUGGGAAUUGGGAAGAAGAAGGCCAAACACCUGAAACAGAUAAAUUUACACAUCACACAGUUAGAAAAAUGAAGUUAAAAUUCCAACAAAGGAUACAUGUUCGAUAUUUUGUUAAAUACUGGGACUGCUUUGAAAUGUAUAUUAUCAAUACCUCCUUUUAAAUAACCUUCUUAGAUUUUGCUAACUCGAGACUCGAAGGUCUACCUUUCCCUCUUCUGCUGAGUAUCACAAGGUCUCCUCUCCAGAUCUAAAUGCUACAAACUUUGUUAUGAGACAGUCUUAUGGGACAAUAUCUAGAGGACUUUCAAUGUGACAGUUUUUAAAAGAAAUCCUGACAUUUUUGUGGGUUCAGUGUUCAGGGCUCAGUGCUCUUGUGACUGAUGAGCAAUCUCUUUCAUCAGUGCAAGACUUUGUGAUAAAAUCUUACUCAACUUCUGUGUCUGUUAUCUUAAAGUCUACCACACCUGGCACUAUAGUCUGUGGCCUAUUUCUCUUGACAUACUAUUAAAAGUCAAGAUAUAUUCAUUGUUUCAUUUUGCCUCACGGCCCCCAAGCCCCACCUUCCACAGGCAAAGGAGAUUGUCUUUUAGGCCUAGGAGCCAAUGAAAGUGAUCCAGUACUUGGUUUGUUCCAAGUCUGGGAAAGUUCCUCCUGCCCCAGAGCUGGCAUCGAAAUUGCAAAAGGUAAGCAGUUCUCAGAGGAGACAGAGACAACAGCUCCCCCAUCCUCCCAAUAUCUCAAGUCCCUUAAGAGAGUCUGUUGUUGAAGUUGGUAGAUAUUUGUGUUCAUUUUCUUUCUCUCCAGCAGUCUGACUCUUGUUUGUAUUCAUAAAGAAAUUGUUGACCUUAUGGAUUCGUUCGCAGCACUAGGACCUCAAAGAUGAUCUCUCUGAGACACGUACCGACACACUGCCUUUUCUCCAACUUGCCUAGGUGGUUCCCCGAGACAAAUGUGGAGCUGGUUUCAAAUCUUCUCUGUGACCUGGUGUGCCUGAUGAGGACCAAGGAGAAAAACUGCUACUUGGACCUUCAAAUUUUCUGACUCCAAGACCCAAGGCAAAACAAUUCUCCACACUUUAAUUUGAUAAAGGAUGUGCUAAACCAAAGGUCCCAACUUGAAAAGUGUUGUUGCAGAGAUUAGAUGAGAUAAUCAAUGACGCCAAAGGAGAAGAAGACAAAUGGAGCUCUGGAAGAAUGAUUAAUCUCUCCCAGAAAGUGGCUAGCAUCCUCUCUGGUACAUGGGCCCUCAGCCAUGGGGACCAACUGAUGAUAUUCCUGCCCCCAGCACCAGAAACCUACUGGAGCUGCCUGGCCUGGGUGCGAUUGGGUAAGACAUGGGAGAGGGGCCCCUGGGACAGAGGCUCCUAUGGGAUUCCAGUCUCAGUCAUUCACAGAAUGGAGAGAUGGUAAAAGGAUGUCCAUCUGAUGCCUGAAUUCUUCCCAUAGUGUGGGGGUCUAUAAACAGGCCUAAGGUUUCAUCUCAGCUCCACGAACUGCCACUUUUGUAAUAUCAUCCCUCUCUGAGCCUCAGUUUCCUUAUUUGUGAAAUGGGCACAGUAAUAGAGUCAGACUUAUGUGUUAUUGUGAAAAUGAAACACAAAUUAUCCAUAGAGAGUGCUUAACUACCUUGUAGGCCAUUUAUCACCUCAAGGAAAUUUUAGCCUCUGAGAGGCUCCAAAAUAUAAAUAUUUUGUGGAAUUAGGAGGUUCCUAGGAAACUCAAAGCACAUGUUCCCUGGAGAUUUCCCAUGAAGUGUUUGCCAUUAUAAGUUCCCACAAAUGGCUCAGCCUAUUGCUUUUGCCUGAGAAUAGGCUUGUAGUUAAAAAACAAAAAACCCUGAAGAACAUUCAAAGAGCAGGUAUCCUUGAGAAUGCCAGGUGUGGGAGGCACAAAGAAGACAAGACAGGAGUGAGCCACACCACGGCUCAACAGAAGCCCUUGAGUACUUCAGGAAGUAAGUCCUAUUUUUUGAAGGCCCUAUGCUUGGAGGCUCAUCUUUGCCAUGUAGUUCCCAAGAGUUGGGGUGCCUGAGGUAGCUCACAAUCCCCUCAGUCCUCUGGGACAACUUCUGUAUUAUGAGCUCCUCCUGACUGUGGGUCACCACACCUGGAGUGGGGUUUCUUGUGAGACUGUGUCUGCCUCUCCUGUUUCCAUAUAUGUUAUCCUUUUAUCCGUUAUUUUACAGACACUGUUAAGCUAUCUUUCAGAUCCUUUUCAGAGGGAAUUGUUCCAUAAGCAGCUGUUGAAUUCUUGUGUUCAUGGGAGGAGGUGAGUUCAGGCCCCUCCCAUGCUGCCAUCUUGACCCCAGCUCCACAGUCCAUACUCUAAACCACAUGUGAAAUAAUACAUGUUUAAAACCACUCUUUGGGCAAAUAGCAAUGAUACGUUUCUUCUGAACGUGUAUUCUGAAAUGUUAUCAAAAGUCCAUAGAAUGAAAAUCACUGAGCAAGAAGCUGGAGCUAAAGAUGACUGAGACAAAGUUCUACCCUCAGAGGGGCUGAAACACUCCUAGGGGAGAUGAGAUCGAGGAAAGAGCAAUUUAAUGCAAUCAGGAAGGUCCUCGGUAAAUUGACAAGGAGUUCAGAAGGAAAAGAAACUCCCUUCAGCUAGAAAAUCAGGAAAGGAUGCUGCAAGGAGGUAGCACAACAUGCAUAUUCCCACUGCAAAGAAGCCACUCUGGGGGACUAUACCUUUGUUUUCAUUGUAUUGCUUCUGCUUAAAAAUAGUUUAGGACUAUACUUUGGGAAAGGGUCACCAAGGAAAGCAGCGUCAUUACUCUAAACUUUCCUUUUUUAUUCAAAAGUAUACUUCCCAGUAUGAGAUUUCAAUAUCCCACUUUGAAUCAUGGAGAGAACAACUACACAAAAGAUCAACAAGAGAGAAGGGAGAAGACUUUCAUUUAAGCCCAAGUUAAGAUAGCCACCCAGGAUACAAAAUCUUCACAAAGAAGAGACUUCUCUGAGGAAGGAACAGUCAGUGCAGGAUUACAUAUGUUUUUUUCACACAAUGCAUCAUAAAUCAUCAUGGCCAUGACAUUCCAGAAAGUUACAGACUUUAUCUCAUGUCUUAGUAUCUGCAAGACUGUAUGACUUUAAUCUUAUGGAAACCAGGGACAUGUUUUUCUUGUUCUUUAUGUUUGAAAUGUUCCUUUUUGGUUAUUUUUAUUUUUAUUUUUUGAAGCUUUCAAUUUUUUAUUUUUUUAAAAAAAUAUUAGAGAAGGAGGAG
Long non-coding RNA from Felis catus (domestic cat), 6760 nucleotides. RefSeq lists it as uncharacterized. The transcript has 3 exons. Lineage: Eukaryota; Metazoa; Chordata; Mammalia; Carnivora; Felidae. The record is from RefSeq and is a predicted model, not a curated record.